Molecule: transfer RNA, 68 nt
Filed under: Potamyia flava
Lineage: Eukaryota; Metazoa; Arthropoda; Insecta; Trichoptera; Hydropsychidae
Description: tRNA-Tyr
Source: RNAcentral
AAAAUGGCUGAAUAUUAGGCAAUAAAUUGUAAAUUUAUCUAUAAAUAUAUAAAUAUAUUUUUUUACUA